RNAcentral lists this ribosomal RNA (274 nucleotides) under uncultured bacterium. RNAcentral describes it as "partial 16S ribosomal RNA". It matches the Rfam family "Bacterial small subunit ribosomal RNA", at positions 523 to 796 of the family's 1533-position model. The record is from RNAcentral.
AUACGGAGGGGGCAAGCGUUGUUCGGAAUUACUGGGCGUAAAGAGUACGUAGGCGGAUCGUUAAGUUAGAGGUGAAAUCCCAGGGCUCAACCCUGGAACUGCCUUUAAUACUGGCGAUCUAGAGAUCGAGAGAGGUGAGUGGAAUUUCCAGUGUAGAGGUGAAAUUCGUAGAUAUUGGAAAGAACACCAGUGGCGAAGGCGGCUCACUGGCUCGAUACUGACGCUGAGGUACGAAAGCGUGGGGAGCAAACAGGAUUAGAAACCCGAGUAGUCC